CUGUUCUCUUGAGAGAUCAGAGGCGCAGUGUGCGUCAAUCUCAAUGAAGCCUGUGCCUUUUACCUCUUUAAGAGCAUAC
This 79-nucleotide microRNA precursor is filed under the name Nomascus leucogenys (northern white-cheeked gibbon). RNAcentral's name for it is "mir-6529 microRNA precursor family". It matches the Rfam family "mir-6529 microRNA precursor family". The record is from Rfam by way of RNAcentral. Lineage: Eukaryota; Metazoa; Chordata; Mammalia; Primates; Hylobatidae.